Molecule: transfer RNA, 76 nt
Filed under: Epibacterium sp. DP7N7-1
Lineage: Bacteria; Pseudomonadati; Pseudomonadota; Alphaproteobacteria; Rhodobacterales; Roseobacteraceae
Description: tRNA-Asn
Rfam family: tRNA
About the family: Transfer RNA (tRNA) molecules are approximately 80 nucleotides in length. Their secondary structure includes four short double-helical elements and three loops (D, anti-codon, and T loops). Further hydrogen bonds mediate the characteristic L-shaped molecular structure. tRNAs have two regions of fundamental functional importance: the anti-codon, which is responsible for specific mRNA codon recognition, and the 3' end, to which the tRNAs corresponding amino acid is attached (by aminoacyl-tRNA synthetases). tRNAs cope with the degeneracy of the genetic code in two manners: having more than one tRNA (with a specific anti-codon) for a particular amino acid; and 'wobble' base-pairing, i.e. permitting non-standard base-pairing at the 3rd anti-codon position.
Source: RNAcentral
UUCCCAGUAGCUCAGUUGGUAGAGCGUCUGACUGUUAAUCAGAGGGUCGCUGGUUCGAGACCAGCCUGGGGAGCCA